Taeniopygia guttata (zebra finch) is the source of this 1262-nucleotide non-coding RNA. NCBI's taxonomy places the organism in Eukaryota, Metazoa, Chordata, Aves, Passeriformes, Estrildidae. The record is from RefSeq and is a predicted model, not a curated record.
CAGGGGGCGCCGGGCCCGCCCGUGGGGGAGCGAGCGCCGCGCCUAAAGCCGCGCCUAAAGCCGCGCCUAAAGCCGCGCCUGUGAGAGCGGGACACGCUGGGCCAGCAGUUAGCGUGUAGGGAAAAAAUACGUGGGGUUUGUGCUCCACUGGAUGUUUGUCGUGAUUUGUUCUCCACAGCUUGCUGGAGACGCCGAGGAUGUUGGUAGACGACAAAUGGAAUGGCUUGUAAAUCAGAACCUGCAGGAAGCAGCAGUACUAGUAACUGCAGAUGAUCUGGAUGCGCCCAAACCUCUGUAAAUACUUUCACUGCCCUAAAUGAGGAAUCCGUGCUGCUGUCUCGGCCAUCCCCAUCACCUCAGCCUCAACUUUGCCCCUACCUGAACAAUGUCGCUACAGCAGUAUGCAAAAUACAGACUAUCUAAAGUUUAAAGAGUAUUUAAAGACAGUAUCAUUUACUUGUUCUGCAGAUGCAUUGUAUUGUCUUUAUUGGAGAUUGAAUAGUGCCUAGACAGACCUGUAAUCUGACCCAUUACUUUUUUUUUUUUUUUUUUUUUUUUUUUUUGCAUCCUCUCUGCUGUUUACACUGUGUCAUAAAACAAAUGGCACUGCUAUUAACUGGAAAAUCUGGUCUAGCAUGCAUGAUGUGCAUUUAGAGUGACAGUUCUGUACCUUGAUCUAGACUUAAUGGUACCACUCUGAAUGGAGCAUCUGGUACAAGAAGUCUUCCUUAGGACAUGUAAGUAUUUGUUUUACUGAGAUCUGUAAGGAAACUUGUAUAUGUAUUUAGUUGUAUUAUUAAACAUAUUAUGAGAAGAAAAUAAGUAUACAAAUGGUUGCUCACUUGUAUAGAGUUAGUAGUUGGAGGAAGUUCUGAAACUUUCUAAGACAACCUAUGGCCUGGUCCUGCUGGAGCUGCCUGUAACCCCAUUUAAGUUUCUCCAAGUGUAUGUUCACAAACAACCUCUCUUCACAAUCCCCUGCUCUUGGAGCAAGUCCAGGAUGACAGUGCCUGCUACAGCAACUGUGCCUUUUUUACCCAGGUCAGGUUAGGCACAUCUGCCUGCCAGGUACUAAAUUCAGUCUUCUGCAAUUUUCAGUUGACUUUCUUCCCCUCUGCUCAGACAUUCUUCAUUCAUCUUGUGGUGCUUUGUUUCUGUUUUCUGACUAAAUCUCUUCCUCUUGUUUCUUUAGUUCCUUGGAUUGUAAACCACACGCUGGAACACAAAUAAACUGGAAAUUCUACAAGUCUUUUAUAAAAAUA